UACGAAGGGGGCUAGCGUUGCUCGGAAUCACUGGGCUUAAAGGGCGCGUAGGCGGGUGCUCAAGUCCGGGGUGAAAUCCUCCAGCUCAACUGGAGAACUGCCUCGGAUACUGGGUGCCUCGAGGGUGGUAGGGGUAUGCGGAACUAUCGGUGGAGCGGUGAAAUGCGUUGAUAUCGAUAGGAACUCCGGUGGCGAAGGCGGCAUACUGGACCACAUCUGACGCUGAGGCGCGAAAGCCAGGGGAGCAAACGGG
RNAcentral lists this ribosomal RNA (253 nucleotides) under uncultured bacterium. RNAcentral's name for it is "partial 16S ribosomal RNA". It matches the Rfam family "Bacterial small subunit ribosomal RNA", at positions 524 to 776 of the family's 1533-position model. The record is from RNAcentral.